This is a long non-coding RNA of Strongylocentrotus purpuratus (purple sea urchin), 1426 nucleotides long. RefSeq lists it as uncharacterized. The transcript is spliced from 2 exons. Lineage: Eukaryota; Metazoa; Echinodermata; Echinoidea; Camarodonta; Strongylocentrotidae. The record is from RefSeq and is a predicted model, not a curated record.
GUGAGCGCGCGAUCCCAAGUGAAUUCAGUAUUAUGACGACACAAUGCUUACCCCUCAUCCUAAUUGAUGCGCAGUACUACCUGUCCUCAUCGCGUCUAGUUGGCAUGGCAACGGGUGAUGAUAGCAGUAUCCUUAUCCAGCAUAUAACCCAGCCGUUAAUUUUGGCGAUAUAAUUGUGGUGCAUGCCGGGUGCCCGGCCUGAUGAAUGAUUAUUGAUGAUAUGCACGAAAAUUCAAUACCUGAGCAGCCGCUGUAUAUUGUAGGUCAUUACUAAAAUUGCUAUUACACCAGCGCAACAAGCAACGAUUUUUAUAUAAACUUGGCCGGAGGUUAUCAUGGUCUUUGAAUAGAUGCGUUUACGUGUUGAAAAGAAUUCACCCCAGACAACAAACAUCCUAUGAACCAUGAAGUUUACCGACCUGACUCAGCGCUCUCUGCGAGAUCUAGAGAAGAGAUCGACAGAGAGGAUGGCGAGAUUUGAGAGAGUACAGAGCGACUUUUAUCAGCUACAGCAACAAAUAGAAGAAAAGUCAAAUUACAUGAACACUCGACACUACAAGGUAAGCUCGAAUAUAUUUUUAUUGUAAUUUGAUAAAUAUUUGAUAAUGUCACAACAACAAUAGCAACAGCAACAUCAGCAGCUAGCAGAGUAAUAAACACAGCAGCAACGGCGACGACAGCAACGACAAAAACAGCAUCAGUUAUGCUCUGAUUGUAUUUCUAUUGUCAUUCAGAAAUGUAAAGAGCAUGUAUAUAGAAUUAAUGUGGCCCCAGAAGACCUUAGUGAACAGCAUUUAUAGAUAACUUCCUCCUGGGAUAUCAAAGACCUUUCUAAAAAAAAAAAAUCGAACAAGAGUUCAUUUUUAUUCUUCCUUUCCCCCCAUUUCGUCACCUCACCGCUAAAAGGACCUUACAACCAGUGACAGCACAUGGUGGCAGUGUCCUUUUUGCAGUGAGAUGACGAUUCUUAUCUUCUUUUUGUUUGCAGUUGCUCAGCAUACAGGAGGAUUUAGGCCUCAUUCAGAGAAACGCGGAGUGGAUCAAGCACAGACUGAAUGAAUUAAAAGAGGAAGCAGACACACCUGUUAAACCCCUGGAGAGAGAACUAUUCUACCCGAAAAGCUGGAUCACCAUGUAACCAUGGCGACGAGAUGGAUGGUAUCAAUGAUCGCGCUAAUAAGAAAGGAAAUAAUGAAUGAGAGAACCACAAGUACCUUGAAUUGAAUAUGAUUGGAUACUUGCGUUUUCAAAGGCGAUUGUUCACACUGUAGGAAUAGGGAUCAUUCAAAAUGAAUGAAUGGGCAAUGACAUAUCGAAACUGAACGUCAUAUCAACAAAUCCUAGACUUAGAUCAUUAGACUACUUUCUUCUAUGAAUUUAUCCUCUCACUAAAUGAAUAAAUGAACAAACACCUUUUCCAUGUUUA